AAUUACCCAAUCCCAACACGGGGAGGUAGUGACAAGAAAUACUGAUACAGGGUUCUUAAGGAUCUUGUGAUUGGAAUGAGUACAAUUUAAACCCAUUAACGAGGAACCACUAGAGGGCAAGUCUGGUGCCAGCAGCCGCGGUAAUUCCAGCUCUAGUAGCAUACAUUAAAAUUGUUGCAGUUAAAACGCCCGUAGUUGAAGUUUGGGCUCGGUCAACUGGUCCGCCUCACCGCGUGCACUAGUAAGACUGGGUCUUUCUUUCCAAGAUUCUGCAGUUGCAUUUAUGUAGUUGUAGAUUUUUCUUGGAACUUUUACUUUGAAAAAAUUAGAGUGUUCAAAGCAGGCCUUUGCUCGGAUACUACAGCAUGGAAUAAUGAAAUAUGACGAGUGGUUGUAUUUUGUUGGUUUAUAUAACCGCCGUAAUGAUUGAUAGGGAUGGUCGGGGGCAUCGGUAUUCGAUCGUCAGAGGUGAA
RNAcentral lists this ribosomal RNA (473 nucleotides) under Monoicomyces homalotae. RNAcentral describes it as "SSU rRNA". It matches the Rfam family "Eukaryotic small subunit ribosomal RNA", at positions 439 to 915 of the family's 1831-position model. Lineage: Eukaryota; Fungi; Ascomycota; Laboulbeniomycetes; Laboulbeniales; Laboulbeniaceae. The record is from RNAcentral.